UUUACAAUGUUCAGUUCUUUUAAGAAAUCAUUUUCUUUGGAAGAUGAUUUUGACCCAUGAAAAAGUUGUUUUACCCCUGGUAAUCUUUUUGAAAUGGGGCUGGCUGUUAUACAUUAUACAGGUUGUUUUCAGUUAAGUGAAAAGGAGUUGGGCUUGUCUUGAGAAGAAUUCCUCUAAAUUAUGGCACUGAGAAAACUCAGAUAAGAUUUUGGAUUUAGAGUUGAUGCUGUAAUAAUGGGUUGUGACUUUUGAGCACCUAUGAGUGACGUAAAUUUAUUUGUGAUGGAUCUGAAUCUUUUAACACAGGGGUGGAGUGGUGGUCAUAGAGAUGAAACAGUGCUGGUUUUUAAGAUAGAAGGCCGCAAGCCAAGGAAUGCGGAUGUUCUCUAGAAGGUGGAAUGACAAGGAAAUAAAUAAUUCUCCUAUGCAACGCUGCCGACAAACUGAUGUUAAAAGCACCGCGAAACCCGUUUGGACUCCUAACCUAUAGAAUUGUUAAGAUAAUAAAUUUGUGCUAUUUUAAGCCACAUUUUGUAACUUGUUAUG
RNAcentral lists this long non-coding RNA (546 nucleotides) under Homo sapiens (human). RNAcentral describes it as "non-protein coding lnc-DNAJB6-5:1". The record is from RNAcentral. Lineage: Eukaryota; Metazoa; Chordata; Mammalia; Primates; Hominidae.